AUUGACUUGCACGGCUUCAGCCUGUUAAGACUAGCCGACAGAAGGCGCUGAAACGUUUGAAAAUGCAGCACCUCGGGAGUGUCCAGCAGUUGUGUCUUCCUCUCAGUCAUUUUGUUGAGAAUCUCAGCUAUGGAUGAAUAUCUGUGUGCCUGCCUGCCUUUGUUUUGGGAGCUCAAGGGCUAGUGGAGAGGAGCGAUGGUAAGUCUCAAGGGCGCUGAGGGACCGGGACAUCUUGGUGCGAGGAAGAGCGUCUGGUGUUGUUGACCGAGUGAUCUGCUGUCCCACUAGACAUCUGCAAUCAUGGAUGAGUGAGAGUCAUUGCUGUAAAUGUGAUCUGGAGGUGAUUUGGCACAGCUUAAAGAAGACACUUGAUCAUGGUUGGGAGGUAAGAGCAGGUGAGAGGAGCUCCUACUGGACAGAAG
Scylla paramamosain (green mud crab) is the source of this 422-nucleotide long non-coding RNA. RefSeq lists it as uncharacterized. Lineage: Eukaryota; Metazoa; Arthropoda; Malacostraca; Decapoda; Portunidae. The transcript is spliced from 3 exons. The record is from RefSeq and is a predicted model, not a curated record.